CGAACGCUGGCGGCGCGCCUAACACAUGCAAGUCGAACGGAGCUGUUUUCUCUGAAGUUUUCGGAUGGAAGAGAGUUCAGCUUAGUGGCGAACGGGUGAGUAACACGUGAGCAACCUGCCUUUCAGUGGGGGACAACAUUUGGAAACGAAUGCUAAUACCGCAUAAGACCACAGUGUCGCAUGGCACAGGGGUCAAAGGAUUUAUCCGCUGAAAGAUGGGCUCGCGUCCGAUUAGCUAGAUGGUGAGGUAACGGCCCACCAUGGCGACGAUCGGUAGCCGGACUGAGAGGUUGAACGGCCACAUUGGGACUGAGACACGGCCCAGACUCCUACGGGAGGCAGCAGUGGGGAAUAUUGCACAAUGGGGGAAACCCUGAUGCAGCGACGCCGCGUGGAGGAAGAAGGUCUUCGGAUUGUAAACUCCUGUCCCAGGGGACGAUAAUGACGGUACCCUGGGAGGAAGCACCGGCUAACUACGUGCCAGCAGCCGCGGUAAAACGUAGGGUGCAAGCGUUGUCCGGAAUUACUGGGUGUAAGGGGAGCGCAGGCGGAUUGGCAAGUUGGGAGUGAAAUCUAUGGGCUCAACCCAUAAAUUGCUUUCAAAACUGUCAGUCUUGAGUGGUGUAGAGGUAGGCGGAAUUCCCGGUGUAGCGGUGGAAUGCGUAGAUAUCGGGAGGAACACCAGUGGCGAAGGCGGCCUACUGGGCACUAACUGACGCUGAGGCUCGAAAGCAUGGGUAGCAAACAGGAUUAGAUACCCUGGUAGUCCAUGCCGUAAACGAUGAUUACUAGGUGUGGGAGGAUUGACCCCUUCCGUGCCGCAGUUAACACAAUAAGUAAUCCACCUGGGGAGUACGACCGCAAGGUUGAAACUCAAAGGAAUUGACGGGGGCCCGCACAAGCAGUGGAGUAUGUGGUUUAAUUCGAAGCAACGCGAAGAACCUUACCAGGUCUUGACAUCGGAUGCAUACCUAAGAGAUUAGGGAAGUCCUUCGGGACAUCCAGACAGGUGGUGCAUGGUUGUCGUCAGCUCGUGUCGUGAGAUGUUGGGUUAAGUCCCGCAACGAGCGCAACCCUUAUCGUUAGUUACUACGCAAGAGGACUCUAGCGAGACUGCCGUUGACAAAACGGAGGAAGGUGGGGAUGACGUCAAAUCAUCAUGCCCUUUAUGACCUGGGCUACACACGUACUACAAUGGCUAUUAACAGAGGGAAGCAAGACAGCGAUGUGGAGCAAACCCCUAAAAACAUUCUCAGUUCAGAUUGCAGGCUGCAACCCGCCUGCAUGAAGAUGGAAUUGCUAGUAAUCGCGGAUCAGCAUGCCGCGGUGAAUACGUUCCCGGGCCUUGUACACACCGCCCGUCACACCAUGGGAGCCGGUAAUACCCGAAGUCAGUAGUCCAACCUCGUGAGGACGCUGCCGAAGGUAGGAUUGGCGACUGGGGUG
This 1446-nucleotide ribosomal RNA is filed under the name uncultured organism. RNAcentral's name for it is "SSU rRNA". It matches the Rfam family "Bacterial small subunit ribosomal RNA". The record is from RNAcentral.